GCGACCCGGGACAGGGGCAGAGAAGCGGAGGGAGGCGCAGGGCCCGCCAUCCCGGCCCCUUUGUGCCUGCGCUCCAUCACCCGGGUCGGCGGUAGGGAGAGGUGGCAGAUGGCCAGUGGCAGCCCCAGACCCUCGGGACCCGCGUUGAGCAUCGACUCCAGCCCACCCUUCCCCAACACGGUGGGGACGGGGGUCAAAAAAUGGGCCCGUGGCCAGAGAAGGAGGGAUGGCGGUGAGAUGUGGGUUACGACCUCACAUGCGGUUUACGUAUGCGGAAAGGGAAAGGGGAGGUAAAGGCCGGGCAUCCGUCUGCCCCAGCGCACCCAGCCGUCUGCAGGCAGAAAAGACGGCACCAAAAGUCUUCAAAAGAAGUUCUGCGAAGCGUCAGCCUCGGAGAAAGAUGGAUGGAAAUCAUGUUCACUGACACUAGUCCCAGGAGGGGCUACCCCCUCUAUUUCUGCAGGUGCCGACUCUUACGUCCCUCUGUUCUCACGCUCGAUCCUUGCUUGUUUUGAAAUCCAAAAGGCUUUUCCAGCCCGCCACCACUCCCCGCUCACGAAUACACACGCACACACCCACACACACACCCUCAGGCUCCUCCCUCCCACACAACAACACUGGGUGCAGAGCUCUCCCUCCCACCGCUGCUGGGUCGCCCUCAUCCCGCGGCAUCCGCACGGCCGCCCCGCUGCCAGCCCAAACCGAGGGGCGCCUCUCUCCACCGCGUCAUCCCGCUGCCCUCAGUGCGUCUAUUUGCUCUGAUUUACUACAGAGGCAGGGAUGGUUAAGGGCCCUCUGGAAAGGUUCAGUUUCUCAAACUGCAGGGGGGCGGAGUGGAGGACAAGAGCAACAACACUCCAGAGGCGUUUAUGAUAUUAUACUGCGCCAAUUUUGGUUAUGGUUAUAGCUGUAAACACAUUUAUUUCAUUCUUGUAAACCAGUUGUGAUAAAUACCGCAUAAAGCAGAGAAAAGAGACAGCUAUUAAGUCUGCUUACUAAUAAAAGGGCUGACAUCUUCUCAGUGCUUUUUCCUUCAGCCAAGAAAAAAAAAAUUACUACAAGUAGCUCCCUUUUACCCGUAAAUUCCGAUGAAUCACUUUUCUUACAGUCUCCAGCAUCGUGAAUUCCUUUUUUCUCUGCCUUUUUGGUGCCAUUGUCUCUUGUUGCAUUGUCUCUCUGGCGGGGCUCUCGGGUUUUGCUGCCCGCACUAAGCAUGGGGGCAAGCCCAUGAGAAGGGUCGGAGCAGAGGAGGAACACACACCACACCCUCCCUCCUGCGCGGCCGGGCGAGGGGGAGCUCCUGCCCCUUCCCCCUGCCCUCAGGCCGUCCCGGCCCCUCUGCGGCUCCGCUCCGCGUUUCCUGCCACGGAACUGGGGCUGAGGGGGCGAUCCCGGCUCUUCAGGCUUUUCCGUGGGAGUGUGCCCCCGCUGUGCCCCAGAGUUCACCCGGAGCCUCGGAGGCGGCUCCUGCUUGCUGAAUUCCCCCAUUUAUUUAAAUUGAGUUUGUGAGAAGUUUAAACCUUGUAGAAGGUUUCCUUUUUCUUUUUGUUUUUAUUUUCUUUUUGUUUGAUGUUUCUGGUUUUUGUUCAGGAGGUUUUUGGGGUUUUGUUUUAUUGUUCGGGGUUUUUUUGAGUUCGUUUUGCUUUGGUUUUCUUUAAGCGUAGUCAGCAUCCGGAAAUCUGGGCACAAAAGAAACCCCAACCCUUACAUGAAUGUUGCGGUCCAAUUUAACCCAGUGGCAGAGGAGUGAAAAUGCCGGGGAGGCUGCUCGCUUUCCGCGGGGACAUGGCUGGAGCAGAGGCAAGGAGGAGAACCGAGGCCGAGGUUUCACCGCGCCCGCAGCUCAGCCAAGCUGUUGUUUUAAAGGAGCAAUAAAAGUGAAUUAUGACUAAACGCCUUCUCACUUAAUGGUUUUAGACGGGGAUCCCCAGCCUCGGCAAAUACGGCUGAUUUCUUGGAUUACCCAGCACGUGAGAAGUAACCAACCACAUUCUUUGUGAGCUCUGAUAUUUUUAAGAUACGUUUUCUGAAAUAUCUUUCUGGCUGCUAAGCACUACUUUCUAGAAAAACAGGAUUAUUUUAAUAUUUUUUAAAGCACCUUUCGUUCAUGUAACAGGCUGCUUUCUGCAGGAGAUGCUUAUCCUACUGAGUCUCUGUUACGUUCUGCCUGUAACAGGGAAAGUCCUCGUUCAUGCUUUUGUUACAGCUCAGGAUUUCCAAGCUUUGUAUCCUCAGAGAUAAGAUGCCACAUUUAUACAUUAAAAGGAACAAAUCUCCAUCAAA
Molecule: long non-coding RNA, 2283 nt
Organism: Melospiza melodia melodia
Lineage: Eukaryota; Metazoa; Chordata; Aves; Passeriformes; Passerellidae
Exons: 2
Source: RefSeq, a predicted model, not a curated record